Pelobates cultripes (western spadefoot toad) is the source of this 215-nucleotide non-coding RNA. The record is from the annotation of a GenBank genome assembly. Lineage: Eukaryota; Metazoa; Chordata; Amphibia; Anura; Pelobatidae.
CCCCUUGCUAUAAUCACUAAGCUCUUUUAAGAGCUUGUUCCAGCUUCGCUCUCUGCAGGGAGAGGUUCGGUCUGCAGUGCUUACGGUGUCUGGAGAAGAGCUUGGAGCCCUCAGGAAGCACAAGGAACAUCCAUCAACUGAAGUACUCGAUUGGAGUACUGGAGUUCCGUUACAAUCAUCAUAUGUUUCGAUUUCUAAUUUUAAGUUUAACUUUG